Salvelinus fontinalis (brook trout) is the source of this 4804-nucleotide long non-coding RNA. RefSeq lists it as uncharacterized. The record is from RefSeq and is a predicted model, not a curated record. NCBI's taxonomy places the organism in Eukaryota, Metazoa, Chordata, Actinopteri, Salmoniformes, Salmonidae. The transcript is spliced from 6 exons.
CCGCCGUUAAACCUCAUCGAAGAAGAAGUGCAACAGCAUUUACACUCCGUUACGAAAUCGAAGCAUUUGUAAAAUUAUCUGUCAAAUAUUUUACUAUUAUUUGAUGCCCUUUGGUACUAGUUAGUUCUAUCAACGGAAGACAAAACACACAAUAAGGCACCCUCUGUCAGGGAUCGGUAUUACACUCGGUGGUAUAAAAGGGAUAUCAAGGGUGCGGCUUGUGAAGACCAGUGCGUUCUUCAGCAUUCAAAUAGUUUUUUACAGAACCUGUGUGAUCACCCUGGCAGAGACUCACCCUAUUCUUCAGAAUGGCAGGACAAUCAAGAGUAUCAACUAUCAAAUAAGCGUUGGCUGCAGUCGCCUGCAGAACAGUGUCCGAGAAGUCAGAGAUUAUGUGCUACAUUUUUUAAAUAAUGUUAUAUAAAUCUGGGAGGGAAACUUGUGCAGGUGGGGAGGAGUACACCACUUACAGGUGAUUACAACCUUUUGCACCUCGGCAGAUAAUCCACCGUUUAUGCUGCAUAAGGAGUCGGCUAUUGGAGGUCAAUGAGGUUAUUCUUGAAAGGCCAAAACUUUUACUGGGAAAGCCUUCUUAAAAUAGAGAGCAAGACAGUCACUAACGGGCUCCUGAGCAGAGAGGAGUACGAGAGCAUCGUCUCUAAACGGACCAGCAGCACCCAGCCUGAGCCAUGCUGAGGAAUGAAGAGUUCACAGGGACUUUUCCUGGGGCAGCUUUGUUGGAGGGGUCCCUCAUCUCCUUCAGACCCAGCCAGACCUAGGUACCUGCAUAAAGCAUACCCCUGUCCAGAUGUGGAUGACAGUGGAGAUGGAGGUUCUCUAGCCUCUACCAGGAGUAGGUAGUCCAGUGCAAAUACUUUUGUUUGUUUUGUUGUAACAUGGAAGAAAUUGAGCCAGUUACGUUUUAGGAGAUACUUUUUUUUUAGCUCUUAAUGAUUGAUGGAAUGUGAAAUGUAAUUUUCUAAAGGAGGAAAUUCGUAAGAUAUUUCCAUUACGUCGGUCAUUGACUAUGUACCAAAAUAACUUAAAUUACCCAAUCCACCCUGUUUUAAGAAAAAUAAUGUUUAUUUAAAUUUGUGUUCCAUUUAUAAUCAUUUAACUGUCAAAAGAAUAAUGGUCCAAAACUAAAUCUACUUCUUCACAUCUGGGGCUUUACUCAACAGCAGCCGACUUUACCUGCACUAAUUCACAACUAUCUCUAAAGCUUAAUAUGGUGGUUUAGUCUUCACACAAACCAUUCAGGUUUAGUAGGACCAGACUCAUCAUCUCUGUGGAUACAGAUAUCUAUGCUUCAAGUACCAUAAUAAUACAGCGUGAUACACAAAAGCCUACAAGGCAGUCUUAGACAGCAUCCCAAAUUAUACCCUAUUUGAUAUAUAUAGACCACUACUUUUGAACAGAAAAACUAAAAGUAGUGCACUAUAUUUGUAUUUAAUUUAACUAGGCAAGCCAGUUAAGGCCUCCCGAGUGGUGCAGUGGUCUAAGGCAGUGCUAGCUGUGCCACUAGAGAUUCUGAGUUCGAGUCCAGGGUCUGUCGCAGCCGGCCGCGACCGGGAGACCCAUGGGGCGGCGCACAAUUGGCCCAUCGUCGUCCGGGUUAGGGGAGGGUUUGGCCGGCAGGGAUGUCCUUGUCCCAUAGCACACUAGCGACUCCUGCGGCGGGCCGGGUGCAGUCCUCCGACACAUUGGUGGGGCUGGCUCCCGGGUUAAGUGGACAUUGUGUCAAGAAGCAGUACCACUUGGUUGGGAAGCACGGCUCUCGACCUUCGCCUCUCCCAAGUCCGUACGGGAGUUGCAUCGAUGAGACAAGACUGUAAAUACCAAUUGGAUACCACGAAAUUGGGGAGAAAAAAAGGGCUAAAUAAUAAUAAUUCAUAUUUACAAUGACGGACUACCAAAAGGCCACCUGCAGGGACUGGGAUAAAAAAAUAUACAAAUAUAGGACAAAACACACAUCACGACAAGAGACAGCGCUACAUAAAGAGAGACCUAAGACAACAUAGCAUGGUAGCAACAUGACAACAACAUGGUAGCAACACAAAAUAUGGUACAAACAUCAUAGGGCACAGACAACCGCACAAAGAGCAAGAAGGCAGAGACAACAAUACAUCACGCGAAGCAGCCACAACUGUCAGUAAGAGUAUCCAUGAUUGAGUCUGAAUUAAGAGAUGGAGAUAAAACUGUCUAGUUUGAGUGUUUUGCAGCUCGUUCCAGUCGCUAGCUGCUGCGAACUGAAAAGACAAGCGACCCAGGGAGGUGUGUGCUUUGGAGACCUUUAACAGAAUGUGACUGGCAGAAUGGGUGCAGUAUGUGGAAUAGGUUGCCAUUUGGGACGGACUUUUACUUACAAGUACACUUCAUAAGGAACAGCUUCAAAACCACAGUUCAUUUGACUCAUGCGCUGGACCAUCAGUCUUUUAGAUAGGUCUUCUGAAAACAUGGAUAAAACAGUAUACCACAUAUACACGGAAAAUGAUUCAAUACAUUACAGAGAGUAGAAAGUCAGUCGGAUAAAAUUGUCUCUGCUGAAAUAGAGCCAUAAUAAGAACUUUAUGUGUCAGUCAGUUUAUACAAGCUAAGUGGCAUAAUUCAGUGAUUAAACCUUCAAUUUACUCUCUUAUUUGGCAUCAAAGUGAGAUUGCAUUAAUUACACUCAAUAAUUGCUAAGCCAUGAUGCGUUUGGUUGGUGUACAACAGUGAGAGCAAUAUCAGCGUUUGUCCUGGUCCCAGAUCUGUUUGGCCAGUCUUGCCAACUCCUCAUGACAAUGGCCAUAGGUAUCGACAAGACAGCUCAAAACUGAGCUGGGACCAGGUGAUCAGAAAGCUGGGGUAACAGCCCAAAUCACUGGGUAAGAUUCAAAGACGUGAUAAUGGCAUCAUGCUCUGGCUUUCAUUUCAGUACAUUUCAUAUCUUCAUACAUGUGAUACAUUUGGCUGAGAUGUGCUACAGGUUACAGUUACACGACAAAGUGAAUGGGCUGAUUACACUGACAGGCACAUAAGUGAGCGUUUUUAGUUUUUUUGGACAAAAUUGUCUAAGUGAGUGAGGCGUCUGUCGUCGUCGUCCCCCCCCCCCCCAGGUGGUUGACAAUGGUAUGCUCCAGCUCUGUGAUAGGUGAUACAGGUUAGGGGUCAAAGGUCACUAGACUGGACUACUUGCUCUCCAGGAAGGUGAGGUUGGCCAUAUGCUUCUCCAGGGACUUGACCCCGAAGCCGUUGCUGUUCUUGCCGCUGAGUGCGCCGUCUUUGACGGGCGUGGACAACUGCCUGUCCCUCCAGCUCUGUGGAGAGUCCAGACUGCUUCUCUCUGACUUAUACUGGAGACACAGACAUAGGAUAUGGUAGUUAUUUUUUUAUAUCUAACCAAUGUAAAAACAUUGGAGAAAAUGACCACCAUUGACAUUCAUCUGUCUACUCAAACCCCAGUAAACAUUGGUUUCUUGGACAACUUGGUAGAUCAGCUGAUAUCAACUGUGACCUCUCACCUUUCUGACAAGUUUAUUACAGACUGGCAGGAGGUAGGUUACCACAGUCAUGAUGGCUCUAGUGUUCUGAAUGGAUGAAUCCACCUAGAGAGACAGAAAAAUAUUCUAAAAACAUAUCAAGGAUGGUUGGUGGUCUUUAUAGAAUGUAAUAUUCAUCCUAACAACAUAAAGAUACCGACUUUUAUCCCUGUGGGGAAAUGUUGGUAAACCACAUGGGAAAGCUGAUUGGCUAAGUUUGCUAAAACCAGCUCUUGACAACCACCAGACAGAGCCUCAAUUUCCUGCUCCAUUAAAAAAGGCCUUUCAGCAAUGACCUUUGUUUGAUUAAACCACCCUGACAGACCAACAGAAGACUGAUCUGUCUGGUUAAUGACAACUUGAGGAGAACGCCAAUGCCUAUAUAACCGAUCCACAUUAAUCAUAGAAGCUCAUUAGUGUGUCCUAAAUGGCACCCUAUUCCCUACUUUUGACCAGACUCCUGUGGGCUCUGGUCAAAAGUAGUGCACUAUAUGGGAAUAGGGUGCCAUUUGGGAUGCAAACCAUGUCAUUCUCUAAUCUCUCAUUCUGACUGUAACCUUCCCCAUUAGUAAAAAGUGACCCAUGCCAGUUCAUCACUGUCCAACUGAUUUUAAUGGAGGUUAAUUAAGCUCAGUGUCAUUAAAGGGUUUAAUUUUACAAUCAUGUUUUCAUGAUUGACCUCUGUAAACCAGUAACAAAUGUUUGCCCAAUGCUGCCAAUGCUGAUGAAUGGGUUGACUUUCUGUUCUUUUUCAUUGCAGUUUAUCAAUACUCCUUGUCAGUUUCGUUUCUGUGCAUCGUCUCACUCUUCUCUAUAACCACACCUUUUGUCACAUGAUAGAACUGUAUUCAUAAUAAUAGAACCUGCCAGUCAAUAUCUGUAUGACUGAUACUCAUUAUUUUGCUGAAAAUUUGAACUAAGAACUUCUAAUAAAAGUGGAUUUUAUUACACAAACAAAUACAGUCAUUGACAACUAAGGCCUGUCACUUAGGAAUGUCCUUGUUUUUUAAAGAAAAUAAAUGUUUUGUCCAUUAAAAUAACAUCACAUUGAUCAGAAAUACAUUGUUAAUAUUGUAAAUGACUAUUGUAGCUGGAAAUGGCAGAGGCCUGUUAUCGUAAAGAGGCCCAUUAUCAGCAACCAUCACUCCUGUGUUCCAAUGGCAUGUUGUUAGCUAAUCCAAGUUUAUCAUUUUAAAAGGCUAAUUGAUCAUUAGAAAACCCGUUUGCAAUUAUGUUAGCACAGCUGAAAAUGUUGUUCUGAUUAAAGAAGCAAUGAAACUGUC